RNAcentral lists this long non-coding RNA (949 nucleotides) under Cyanistes caeruleus (blue tit). RNAcentral describes it as "lncRNA (ENSCCEG00000013712.1)". The record is from RNAcentral. Lineage: Eukaryota; Metazoa; Chordata; Aves; Passeriformes; Paridae.
CUCAAGAUUUAUGUUGGAUGGUGGUCGACAUCAUCCAAGGAGUUUUUUAAAACACGGUUCUCUUUUCUAGCUGACUGUGAUUCCCACCUUCUGCUCCUCCUCUUGUAGAGAACUUCUAUGCACCAAUCCUUCCCAUGGCCCCUAGUAAGGAAAAGGUCACAGGAGGCUACAGAAAACAACAGCCAGCUCUGCUGGGGACCACACCGAGUCACCAGCACUUCACAGACACCUCAACACAAGUCAGCCUGAAAGGAGCCAACAAUGAGCAACACAGGCAAUAUGCAUGAAUUUUGGAGGACUGCUAUGCACAAGAGCUGCAGAUUCACUGGAGAAGGGAAGUUUGUUGAACUCCCAGGAGUUUCAAUCCAAUUUUUCACAUUAAAGUUGUGAUAAAGUAGAGUCACAUUUAAAAAACUACUGGCACUGUAUUAAUUACAGUGCCUGGGCUGUUGGGUUUGUAAUGGAUGGUCUGUGUUAGAGAUGCAGAAGCUGUUCCUAGACUGGAUGGCGUUUUGUACUGAGCUUUACAUCAGAGCAAUUGAUCCACUCAUACUGAGCUUACUCCUGCUUACUUUGGCAGAGAAGCCCUAAUUUUCAUCUGAACAACAGCAGUUCAGUUUAAGGCAGUGAGUUGAGGAGGUUGGCAUGGUCCCUGCUGCAAGGAAGUGAAUUUGAGGCAAUCAACACUGAUUCUCAUGCCUGUCUUCUUCCUCCCUUGCAGUCUGACACCCAGGUCCUUCCAGCAUGCCUGGAGAGCUGUGCAGUGUCUGAGCUGUGAAAUACCCAAUUGGUGUCAUACUGCCUACCCACACCAGCAAAGGCUAUGAACCUAUCAGGGACAUCCAAAUGCAGAGUAUUUUCAAAAUACCAAGUGACCCAUACGAACAGACUGAGUUUAAUACAAAAUUUUGUUAAUAAACAAGAAUGAAAAUGGUCUUUAUCUCCUGGG